Mesocricetus auratus (golden hamster) is the source of this 6611-nucleotide long non-coding RNA. RefSeq lists it as uncharacterized. Lineage: Eukaryota; Metazoa; Chordata; Mammalia; Rodentia; Cricetidae. The transcript is spliced from 2 exons. The record is from RefSeq and is a predicted model, not a curated record.
UCUCCGUCCCGGCCACUCCACUGGCCCAGGAUCCAAAAUAACUCCGCAGACACAAAUUUCCAACAAAAAAUCCCCUCGCAUGUCUCCCAGGGAAGAAGUAUAGCUCCUAUAAUUAAAAGAGGCCACCGCCGGAGGGGGAAUGCUGCCUACAGCCAAAACCAAAGAAAGUAAGAGUUUUAUUUACUUGCUGACUGAACUGGACUGUCAUGAGCAGCAGGUUUACCCACACUGAAGUCUGAGGUGUGUCCUGAGUGCGCAGCAACUUGAGUCCAUGUGACAGUGAAGAAGGAAGAGGACACAAAUUCAAACAGCUGACACAGUGAUCAGCGGCAACUGGCGGUAUCUCAUUUGAUAUUUGAUAUCAAGCACUAGAUCAAUAUUUGUGAGAUCAAUGCAAUUUCAAUGGUUUUCUUUCAAAACUGCAUGAAAGCCAAAUCAUGUCACUCUGAACUAUUGUUAUUUUUAGAGCUGGUUAUUCCAGGGGAUGAUAUUAAGUAACUUACUGAAGCAAAACAAAAACAAAAGAGGUAGGGGUUCAGAGGUGGUAGAAAACACCCCCACACUGCAACACACUAUAUUUCUUCAGCUGAUAAUCCAGGGAAGGUACAAGCUUCUUUAAAAACCACUUACAUAUGAUUUUAAAAAGAUGGAAAGCUUUUGAAAGAUUACCAGGAGGCAUGUGAGGGUGAGUGGGCCAGAGACAACUUUUCAGAUAGUGUAAGAAUUAGGUGGUAUCUGAACAAAGACAAACAUACAUGACAGAAGGGGGAGACUCUGUUCUUCCCCUCAUGUGUAGAGUUGAGUGGGAAAUGACAGACUUUUCUCCAUUCUUGGAAGAGUAGAACAGAAAGCUUUCACAAAGGGAAAGCAGAGAAAAGGUAACUAUAAAUAUUGUCUAUUAUUUUUCUUCCAAGAGUUUCUUCCUUAAUUGAAAUGUCAUUUAUCUGGCCCAGAAGAACACAGUUUUCUAACCUUUAGUUCUAUUUGAACAAAAUUCUAAACUUGGGUUUACUGGUUUUUACAGAUUUCCCUUUGAGGAGUUUCUACCUAGAGGAAUCCCAGGCCUUCAGUCCAGACAGAAACUCCUGGGAGGGUGUCAGAGGGUAUGAGCAGCAUCUCACUAGGACAGUACAAAGGUGACAAUCACACUCCUUUCCAAGCAGAGGUGUGAUUUCUCAGAUGAUCAGAACCAGAAAAAAUAGUUUUCAUUCAUAAUUCAACUUGAAUUUAAAACUUGGGGGCAAGGAAUUUGCUUUUCAUUGAAAUAAUGGCAACAAUUUAGGAAGUUUCUGAUCCCCAACUCUAAAGACCUCUCAAUAUUCAGACAGAAUAAAAUACUUGGAACGCCACCAUUCUCAGCUUCUCCCAAGUGCUUCUCUUUUCUUGGGUCUAGCAUGUUGUCUGAAGAAACUUUAAGUAAAGUUCAUAGUCCAGUGCUUUUACAAAAGUGCGCUGGCCACCUUGUGCUCCUUAAGAAACUAAGUAGAGACAGAAUUUUCCAGGGUUUUAAUAACUCCAUAAAAAAACAACCACCACCACCCAUGGUCUGCAUGUGUCUUUAUGCUCUUUUGUAUUCAAAAUUGGCAGAGUGCCUACAAACUAAAGACAUUAGCAGUUUAAAUCAAUUUUCUUUAAUGAAAUAAAGCCAACCUUAAACACAGACAUGUAUUAUAUGCCAGCAGAAAUUUACAGAUGCAAAACAAGCUUGAGAUAUUUAAAAAUAUUUAUUGCAAUGCCUUGAAGAUUUUGAGCAUGAAAAAUCUAUUUCAUAAAAAAUUACAAACUUUCAUGGAGACCAGCACAUACAGAGCACCUACUAUGUUACAGGCACUAAAUAGACAUACAAAUAUUGUAUAUGUCAUCUGUAAAUUUCAGUUGAAAUGAACAGGAAUGAACAUAAGUACUCCAUACAAAGCUAUGUAUACAUGAGACAUAUAUAUGCGUAUAUGCACAUAACUUUUUUCUAUUUGGUCUUAAAAACCCUGAGGUAUUUUAAGGAAGGAAAUGAACUUUAUAUCAAAUAGUAAUUAAUUUGGAAUUCAUUUUGGCAAAUCAUAAUCUGACCAAUACUUUUCCUCACAGUAUGAAGAAUUUUAAGGUUUAGUGCAGCAAAAAUGCUGUUCUUCUUAAUCCACUUUGAAGCAACAUUGGUGAGUCUACAACCACAUCUACAUGUUAAUCUCUGGUUUUGCCUUCAAACAGAACUGUUACAAAGAACUCGGAAAGAUUUUGAAUCUAUUCAGGAGAGGAAAACUCUUUAAUUUUCUGAGGAGUAAAAACUCACCAAGAAACUUCAUAUAGCUUCUUAGGUUUUGCUUCGCAUACGUGAUAAAACAUUGAUUGUUGCAGUCUGGUGACCCAUGAAAUUUGGGGGUUAGUUUUCUCUUCAGACCAGAGCAUAUAAUUAUGCAAAUAAAGAGCUGUCACUGAUCUAGUGAAAUACUCACAAACACAUGCACUCUGAAAUUGGACGGAAAGUGAGAAUGGUUUGUGAUGUGACGGUGCCUGCCGUGGCUUGCUUUCCUGCCAACUUUCUAUCUGAGUUCAUUAUUCAAAUUGUAAACUUUAAAGAGAUAUCAUUUUUGGGGUGCUGGGUGUUUUUUAUUUCAGAUUCUUUGCUUUGGUCACAGAGUAAGUUCAAUAUCAUUUCACCUAUGACAAUUUUGCAUAACACCCAAUGUACAAGACAACACUGAACGAUCUGGAGACAGGUGCAAGACCUUUAUACAUCUCUUCCUAGAAAUAUGAUUCAUAGCUAUUUAAAGGAAGUUUAACUCCAACAAAGAAAGUAUAGUGAAAUGUUUCCGACACACUUCAAGAAAAGUUGCCUGGAAAGAUAUCAUAGAUUAAGUCAAAAAUUUCAUUUUCUAGGUUUUAUAUCCACAGGAAAAAUACUGGCCACCCUAUGAUAUCCAGUUAUUAAUCAAACCUUCAGGACAGCCUUCUCUAAAUAGCAAAUCUUAAGCUUUUGUGCUCCAUUUUCCAUCAUUAUUCCCAUAAAACCUUUAAACUGAGAACUAACAAGAAUUCUUCAUUUUAUAGGUCACAUUAGCCUUGAGUUCUCCCAGUCCCAAAGUUACCAUGACACAGGCUGUUGCAUAGUUUUAGAUGUCAUGGAGGGUCCCACUGAUGGAAUCUGAGAAGUCUAAUGUCAAACUACUGACUGCUAAAGACAUCACUUCAUGAAAGCAAUGGUGUGAAACUUUAAAAACAUUGAUCCAAAUGAAUCAAUUAAAUUAACAUCAAUCCCUUCUAAGGGUGAGUUUUAAAAAUUGUCAUUGCUAUUUUAAAAAUGCAGAUUUCAGGAUAAAUUCUGGCCAGCUUUGAUAACUAUUUCUAUUCUUGGACCCUCUCAAUACACUUUGUGUUAACCCCCUUCCAACAUCUUCCAGUUGGUGUAUAUUCUUUGAGUACAGUGCAUGGCAGUUGCAAUGGUUUAAUCUAAAACAACCUCACAAAGCUAAUGCUUUAGGUGGAGUAGCUUUAAGCUCUGUGAAGUGUUGAUUAAAAACCCUUUCCCAAACUCAAACUGAUCUUUUUGGGGGAGAUUAAUAGAGUAUUAGAUAAAAAGAAGAUGAACAAUCCUAGAGACCCCCAGUCAGUCAUUCUGCACAGGGACGGAAGGGAAGUAUUACAGGGUUUGAAGGGGGUAUGUCUCAGCGUCUUUUAUUUAACACAAUUAUGCUGGAGGGUAUAUAAGGAGUCACCACAAUUAUCCCCCUUUGCCACCCAUCUUUCAAGUACAUGAAUGCCUCAGGUUUGUUUUUUUCAGUCUCUCCCCACAAGAUAUGAGAAAAGUUGCCAAAAAAUUUACACUGUGAAAUUUUAUACUGUGAAAGUUACUUAAUAGUAAUUUUUCUUAACAGCUUCCAACAGGAGCCUAUCAGUUAGCAAUCUAAACAAUGAUUACAACAUAUAAGAUACAUGCUUGGAUUUGAACUCUGCAAUCCAGAGAAACAUGAAAAAAAUGUAGUUUUAAAUUAGCAGUGCUAAUUAAGUUAACACUAAAUUCUGUCACCCAAACCCCCUCAAAGGUGUGAAAGGCUUCAGAAGGAAUAGCAGUAACAUGAAUGUAAACAAGCCAGUUUUGGACUGAACACACUUUAUCAAGGUCUGACCAUCAGCAUUUUGGGAACAACUUAGUCUUACCAGCUCCUUUUGAAAAAUGCAUUUACUGUAUACUAGUAGUUAUUUUAGAAAUAAUUUUAAGGACAAGUUUUUCCAAUUUCCUUACUUACAAAUUAGAAACAUUUGACUAAAAAUGUUACCUUAUGACAUGUAUGAGCCAAGUAGAGACUCAACUAAAGUCAGGAUAUUGCCUCACAGCAAUAACAAUAGUAAUAAUAACAGCUAUAGGGCUUAUAAUUUGAUGAAUAUAGUCCAGUUACUCCUUCUAGGUCUCACCUUUGAAAGCCUCUGCAGGUGAUGAAAAAAACUGAGGAGGAAAGAUACACAGUUGCUUGUUGGAAAACUUUUUUAUUUUAAAAUGUUAAACAGAAAAGACAUUAAAGGAAACUCCUGUGCUUUGUUUAUUUUUGACAUAUAAGCAAUGCAGCAUUCCAGGAAGCACAAGGCAGAAGCGUGAGGAAAGGACAAUUGUUAUGAGUAGAUGGUCUUUCACACACUCAGGCUGGCUUUCAAGGACUUCUUGUCAGGUCCCUUUUAGAAAGAUCCAAAGCAACUGCCUGGCACUGAAGCUUCAUCAGGACUGUUCUGCAUCUCCAAUUUAUGUCUUUCUCAAUCUUUUUACUCUAAGAAAUAAGCAUAUGAGUAAAGAAAAUUAAAAAAGCCCACAGUCUACCUUCAGACCACCACGGGCCUAGAAUCUUUUAAAGGAAACUACAGGGAGAAGAGCUGUUAUUAACACUGGCCACUGAGGUGAAUAGUAUUAUUAUACAUAUACGGAUAGCAUCCCAAUCAACAGGUUAAGAAACCCUACAUUAUAAGGAAUCACUUAUCAUUGGAAGGCUUUGCCUGGCUCCCUCUGGGUUGCUACAGUGCAGAUCCAUAAGUAGUAACAGACAUUUACAAAAUAUAGCUUUGUAAACAGCUCUCUAUCAGAUAGACAACAAGGUUACAAUUCAGAGAUUGUGAACAACUCAUCUUAAGGAAGCAGUGACUUUCUCUGUAAAACUGAGGGACCUGGAGGAGGGCCAGGAGCCCUCUGGUUCAGAAGCUCAGCACAUUUACUUUCCUUCAAUUCAGCAGCAGAAGCUUCCCAAAUUUAUCUCUGCCUGAGUGAUGAUUUUGUCUUAAUGUCACAAAAUUAGUUUCUUGUGCAUAUUUUCAUAUAUUGAAAACACCAGAUAAUUUAUAGCAUUUGGUAAGAUGUAUUCAACCCACACCACUUUUUCAAAGCCAGUCAUUGAGAGGACAGCAUUAUCUUUACAGAGUUCACCAAUCCCUCUACAAUUAGAAACGAGAAGGGCCACUAUGACAGAGCACUGUGCUUGACAUUAUUGGAGUAACACAUUUUAAACGGCUCAGGAGUUGGAUAAAAUGCCAUUUUGAUCUUCCUCUUAAUAAGUAAUAUCAGAAGAUGUCCAGACACGAUCACUGGUCCUUUACUUCCCAGGUAUUGAAAACACAGAACUAUUGAGUGCAUUUAUAUGUCAAACAACAUGGGAUAUUAACAGUUCUAAAACUUUCUGAAAUCAGUUCACAGUGUUAAAAAAAUUCUCCAUAAGUGUGUUGAGUUCUGGUUACUCUGAGGCAUUAGGCAGUGCCUGAGUAUCAUUUUGUAUAUACUUUUGCAUGUUUUCAAAUAAGACAGACUCAUUACUUGUUGCAUUCACUUAAGAAAGGAUUGGAAGUAUUAAAUUCACAAUCUCACCCACUGGAUAGGAUCUUCACUAAUUAUUCAAGUAAUUCAUGUUUAAUGUUUUAAUUUGAAAGCCAGCAAAAUGUCAACUUAUUUUACCUUCUGUAUUUUACAGUGUUCCACAGAUCCCAGUUGGGGUAAAGGACCUAACAGUUGGAAUUAUAGGACAACACCCUAUCAGAGGAAGUGGAACACUAAAAAUUGUGUACCUAAAAGAGAAAAUCAUUCUCUUUUCCUAUUGUAGAUGAAAACUGACGCACUGUAACCUUACAUAGCCUUUCAGAAGGAUUGGAGUAUGCAGUUUCAUUUUCUUGAUAGCAAAAAAAAAUCCUGUAUCUGAAAAGGUUCACUUACAAGAAAGGUCAAAGUACACUUAGUACAGAUUAGUAACUACCACCAACUCUCUGCACCGUAAUACACAGAGAGCAAGCCUUAAGUGUAUUUUCUAAGUGCCACAAAUCAUGUUACACAUUUAACAGUAGGCUCAGUUAUGUAAGUUAGAAAUUUCACUGAAAAUGGGGCCUCAUACCUACAUCUAAAAUAGUUGCUUAUGUUUUCAUUUGAACAUUCUCUCCGGAAGUCAGAGACAUGAAAACUCUCCCUCAACUCGGCAGGAACGUCCAGAAAAAAGGACUCGAAUUCAGUACUCUAUGUAUUUCUAUGCAGUUUUUCUUUUGGUCUUGAAAGGAAAUAGGUCCGUUACAGGGAGGGAAUAAUUUGUAUUCCCCAAACUACAUAGUACAUACAUCAUGGCAUUCGUGUUCUCAAUUUAAAGUUGGCAUUUCUAGGA